Molecule: ribosomal RNA, 421 nt
Filed under: Laevichlamys sp. AA-2011
Lineage: Eukaryota; Metazoa; Mollusca; Bivalvia; Pectinida; Pectinidae
Description: partial 16S ribosomal RNA
Rfam family: Bacterial large subunit ribosomal RNA
Source: RNAcentral
UUUUGGUGAACUUGAAUUGAACGUGCAAAUGCUUUCAUGGGUAAGAAAGACGAGAAGACCCCGUGAAGUUAGAAAUUUCUAUUGCAGUGUUAGGCCUCGCUGAUUUUAUGUCGGGGUUGAGCUAUAUGGGAAUAGUUUUGAAGGAUUGGAGGUUCCAAUAGUGAAGUAGGGGGUGUAGUUAGUGAGUUUUGGCUGGGGCAGCAAAGAGGCAAAGCUAGACCUCUUUUGUUUAUAGACGGGUGCGUUACGAUCCACAGGUUUGAUAGGUGUGCUUAACAGAAGAAGUUACUCCGGGGAUAACAGCGUUAUUCGUCCUAAUAGUUCUUAUAGACGGGCGGGUUUGCGACCUCGAUGUUGGCUCUGGGUAUCCUGGGGCUUGUAGGUGGUCUCAAGGGUUGGUUUGUUCGCCCAUUAAAACCCG